RNAcentral lists this ribosomal RNA (382 nucleotides) under Sinotaia quadrata histrica. RNAcentral's name for it is "partial 16S rRNA". It matches the Rfam family "Bacterial large subunit ribosomal RNA", at positions 1965 to 2562 of the family's 2925-position model. Lineage: Eukaryota; Metazoa; Mollusca; Gastropoda; Architaenioglossa; Viviparidae. The record is from RNAcentral.
UCAAUUGUCUUAUAAUUAAAGACUGGAAUGAAUGGUUGAACGAAAUUAAAACUGUUUCAUUUGUACUAAUUAGAAAUUGGUUUUUAAAUGAAGAGAUUUAAAUUUAAUUAAUAGACAAGAAGACCCUAUUGAGCUUUAAAUAACUUUAAAAUUAAAAAUUUAUUAUUAGAGAUUUAAGUUUUAAAUGUUUUUUAGUUGGGGCGACUAAGGAACAGGUAAAGCUUCCUUUAUUUAUUAGAUCGAUGGAUUUUGAUCCAGUAUUAAACUGAUUAAUGGAGAUAGUUACCAUAGGGAUAACAGCAUAAUCUUCUUGGAGAGUUCUUAUCAAAAAGGGGGGUUGUGACCUCGAUGUUGGAUUAAAAUAUCCUAAAGGUGUAGAGGC